CACCUCCGCCCACACAGCUAAACACCCCCUUGACGAACUCACGACGCGGAUGGGACGGCGGAGGACCCAGCGAGCAUGCGCGACCAUCCCGAGCAUGCUCAGUAGCGCGCGCGGCGCCCCGGAGCUCCGGCCCAGAGCUGCGGCCGACGCGGAGGUUUCGGCGGCUUCUGCGGCAGUGACGGGAAGUGAGGUGGUCCGGUUGGGCAACCGCGGCGGCAGAGACAGAGGCGAAAGGGUCGCUGCGGCGACGACGUCGUCGACCCGGGUGACCGAGGGGCCUGAGCGCCGAGGGCACUCGCCCGCUCGGAAGCCGGAUCCCGAGCCGGGCAGGAUGGAUCAUCACCAGCCGGGGACUGGCCGCUACCAGGUGCUUCACAAUGAAGAGGAUAAUUCAGAAUCAUCUGCUGUAGAGCAACCAUCAACUUCAAACCCAACACCACAAAAUGUGCAGGCUGCUCCUUCAGCAUCUGGACUUGAGACUGACUCUUCUCCUCCACCUUAUAGCAGUAUUACUGUGGAAGUACCUACAACUUCAGAUACAGAAGUUUACAGUGAGUUUUAUCCUGUGCCACCUCCUUACAGUGUUGCUACCUCUCUUCCUACAUAUGAUGAAGCUGAGAAGGCCAAAGCUGCUGCAAUGGCAGCUGCAGCAGCAGAAACAUCUCAAAGAAUUCAAGAGGAAGAGUGUCCAACAAGAGAUGACUUCAGUGAUGCAGACCAGCUCAGAGUGGGUAAUGAUGGGAUUUUCAUGCUGGCGUUUUUCAUGGCAUUUAUUUUCAACUGGCUUGGAUUUUGUUUAUCUUUCUGUAUCACCAAUACCAUAGCUGGAAGGUAUGGUGCCAUCUGUGGAUUUGGCCUUUCACUGAUCAAAUGGAUCCUUAUCGUCAGGUUUUCUGAUUAUUUUACUGGAUAUUUCAAUGGACAGUAUUGGCUUUGGUGGAUAUUUCUUGUACUUGGCCUGCUUCUUUUCUUCAGAGGAUUUGUUAAUUAUCUAAAAGUCAGAAACAUGUCUGAAAGCAUGGCAGCUGCUCAUAGAACAAGGUAUUUCUUCUUAUUAUAGAGCUUUACCAGAAGCAUAGUGAGAUCAGCAAGUACGACAAAAGUUUGCCCAAAGCUCAGAAGAAAUCUGGAGGACUCAGAAUGUGAAAAGUAACAAAUAACCUUGUUGGAAAGAUGAACUCUUCAGAGGAGACCUGCUCUGGCCAUCAAAAGCCACCAACGUGAAAAAGAAAUUACAAGUCUUGCAUGCCCACAGGGUUACUGACCAUCCAAGCUCCUUGUACCUGGUUUACUGAUUGUCAAUCAAGUCAUUGCAACAGCAGUGUGAAAGCAGUGGGUUUACAUCUGCUUUACCCUGCUCCUUCAUUCUCUUCAUUUUCCAGUUGGGAGCCCCAGAGUGACGAACUUCUCAACAAUUGCUUCUAGAGCUGGGCUUAGUGGAAAUGUCAACAGCAACAAUUUAACCACUGUCUCAAAGAUCAUUCAAUGCUACCCACACUAUCCAUCAACAAAACCUUGCCAGGGGAAGCAGGUGCCAUUUUCACAUCUCUGCCUGGUAAAACAACAAAUGGAAAUGGCCAGCUGAAACAGGCACUCCCCUUUACAGUGAUCCAGCUCCCAAAUGCGUGAUCUUGGUUU
Kogia breviceps (pygmy sperm whale) is the source of this 1638-nucleotide non-coding RNA. The record is from RefSeq and is a predicted model, not a curated record. NCBI's taxonomy places the organism in Eukaryota, Metazoa, Chordata, Mammalia, Artiodactyla, Physeteridae.